Molecule: ribosomal RNA, 109 nt
Filed under: uncultured archaeon
Lineage: Archaea
Description: partial 16S ribosomal RNA
Rfam family: Archaeal small subunit ribosomal RNA
Source: RNAcentral
CCUAUGGGGCGCUGCAGGCGAGAAAACUUUGCAAUGUGCGUAAGCACGACAAGGUUAAUCCGAGUGUUUCCUGCAAAGGAAUCUUUUGUCAGUCGUAAAACCACUAAGA